RNAcentral lists this ribosomal RNA (626 nucleotides) under Microbacterium sp. UFLA CWFB38. Its description in RNAcentral is "bacterial SSU rRNA". It matches the Rfam family "Bacterial small subunit ribosomal RNA", at positions 56 to 695 of the family's 1533-position model. The record is from RNAcentral. Lineage: Bacteria; Bacillati; Actinomycetota; Actinomycetes; Micrococcales; Microbacteriaceae.
UGCAGUCGAACGGUGAAGCGGAGCUUGCUCUGCUGGAUCAGUGGCGAACGGGUGAGUAACACGUGAGCAAUCUGCCCCUGACUCUGGGAUAAGCGCUGGAAACGGCGUCUAAUACUGGAUACGAGCUGCGAAGGCAUCUUCAGCAGCUGGAAAGAAUUUCGGUCAGGGAUGAGCUCGCGGCCUAUCAGCUUGUUGGUGAGGUAACGGCUCACCAAGGCGUCGACGGGUAGCCGGCCUGAGAGGGUGACCGGCCACACUGGGACUGAGACACGGCCCAGACUCCUACGGGAGGCAGCAGUGGGGAAUAUUGCACAAUGGGCGCAAGCCUGAUGCAGCAACGCCGCGUGAGGGACGACGGCCUUCGGGUUGUAAACCUCUUUUAGCAGGGAAGAAGCGAAAGUGACGGUACCUGCAGAAAAAGCGCCGGCUAACUACGUGCCAGCAGCCGCGGUAAUACGUAGGGCGCAAGCGUUAUCCGGAAUUAUUGGGCGUAAAGAGCUCGUAGGCGGUUUGUCGCGUCUGCUGUGAAAACCCGAGGCUCAACCUCGGGCCUGCAGUGGGUACGGGCAGACUAGAGCGCGGUAGGGGAGAUUGGAAUUCCUGGUGUAGCGGUGGAAUGCGCAGAU